This 400-nucleotide ribosomal RNA is filed under the name uncultured bacterium. Its description in RNAcentral is "bacterial SSU rRNA". It matches the Rfam family "Bacterial small subunit ribosomal RNA", at positions 355 to 752 of the family's 1533-position model. The record is from RNAcentral.
UAAGGAAUAUUGGGCAAUGGAGGCAACUCUGACCCAGCCAUGCCGCGUGGAGGAUGAAGGUCCUCUGGAUUGUAAACUUCUUUUAUUUGGGAAGAAAUGCCGACUUUCUAGUUGGUUUGACGGUACCAGAUGAAUAAGCACCGGCUAACUCCGUGCCAGCAGCCGCGGUAAUACGGAGGGUGCAAGCGUUAUCCGGAUUCACUGGGUUUAAAGGGUGCGUAGGCGGGCAUAUAAGUCAGUGGUGAAAUCCCCGAGCUUAACUUGGGAACUGCCGUUGAUACUAUGUGUCUUGAAUAUCGCGGAGGUAAGCGGAAUAUGUCAUGUAGCGGUGAAAUGCAUAGAUAUGACAUAGAACACCGAUUGCGAAGGCAGCUUACUACACGAUCAUUGACGCUGAGGC